RNAcentral lists this unclassified non-coding RNA (609 nucleotides) under Anthoxanthum madagascariense. RNAcentral describes it as "partial external transcribed spacer". Lineage: Eukaryota; Viridiplantae; Streptophyta; Magnoliopsida; Poales; Poaceae. The record is from RNAcentral.
GACAAGCAUAUGACUACUGGCAGGAUCAACCAGGUAGCACGUCCUCUUUGACAUCCAGUGUCGGUAGUUGCCCGCCCAUCCACUUGCGUGGCAAGGCAGAGCCAACUACCGGGCUAGUUGUCGCAAUUGAGCGGGCCUAGCUCGUCCUACUUGUAUGAGGAUCGGCACAGUAUGUUGCGUAAUCCUACCACUAACUGUGGAGAGGUAGAGGCAACACAUGUUCCGGUUGUUCUCAAAUUCGGAGAGCGUUAUUAGGGUCAGGCCGAGGCAACCAAUAAGGGCCACGAGCCUAUAUCAUGAGCAACAUCCAAAACCAACAGCGAGAGCGAGGCUACCUUGAUAGCACCAGGCACAAAAACAUGCCGGACCAAGAGGUAACGCCGCAAGCGCCAUAUGGCCGCAGUAGCACACCCAAAGGCGUCCACCGCGAGUCAACUUUGUAUGAAGCACCACUGCCCGUAGGUCGGGUAACAUCACGCAAGCACCUGAACGGAAACUGUAAGAUAUCUCACACGAAUGAGAAGACACGGCGCCAAUAGUCGGCCGCACAAAGACGGGGGACCUACCAGCAGACACGGGUCCAAAACAGCUCAUGCGCUCGCGUAGCCA